Molecule: ribosomal RNA, 459 nt
Filed under: uncultured bacterium
Lineage: Bacteria
Description: partial 16S ribosomal RNA
Rfam family: Bacterial small subunit ribosomal RNA
Source: RNAcentral
CUACGGGUGGCUGCAGUGAGGAAUAUUGGUCAAUGGGCGCGAGCCUGAACCAGCCAUCCCGCGUGCAGGAUGACGGCCCUAUGGGUUGUAAACUGCUUUUCUAUGCCAAGAAACCUGAUUACGUGUAAUCAGUUGCCGGUAGCAUAGGAAUAAGCAUCGGCUAACUCCGUGCCAGCAGCCGCGGUAAUACGGAGGAUGCAAGCGUUAUCCGGAUUCAUUGGGUUUAAAGGGUGCGCAGGUGGGCUUGUAAGUCAGUGGUGAAAUGCUGCCGCUUAACGGUAGAACUGCCAUUGAUACUGCGAGUCUUGAGUAUGGUUGAGGUAGGCGGAAUGUGUUGUGUAGCGGUGAAAUGCAUAGAUAUGACACAGAACGCCAAUUGCGAAGGCAGCUUACUAAGCCAUUACUGACGCUGAGGCACGAAAGCGUGGGGAGCGAACAGGAUUAGAUACCCGCGUAGUC